UCUUAUCUCUGAUCUUUAACUGAAAAAAUAAGAAUAGAAAGAAGAAAAUAGAAAGGGAAGAAACAGGGGAAAGCCCUAAAUCGGGCAGGGGAAGAAGAAGGGGGAAGACGAAAAGGGGAUGAGCAAGGGGGCAGCGGCGACAGCCCUCCCGUCUGCCACCACCGGUGACGACUGCCCGGCGGCCCUCUCUCGUCAACAGCUCGCUCAUCGUCUCCAUCGAGUCCGAGUCGCACUUCAUGUCUCUGCUAUGCCUCACAACUUCGGCAGAUCCGAGCUAGCUCACAGGAAUUUCGGUGAUCGGUCCUUAGCUCACUGUACCCAUUGCUCGAUCGCGCGGCGGCGGAGGGCGACCGAGAAGGGGAAGAGGGGGAAGAAGGGAAACAGGGCAAGAGCUUACUGAGCGAAGGAGGAGUUUUUACAGGCUAAUUUUGCCAGUGCGGUUGCAUCCUUGAGGGCCACGAAGGUGGUAGUGUUCCUUCCGAAUCCAGAGAGGCACUGGGGACCGAAGUUACGGGCGGGCCGUCAGAUCACAAGCAAGCACCUCUCUCACCUGGGCGCUGAAGCAGUGAAUGGUUCCCUCAGACACCAUGACAGUGAGGAGCCCGAGGAUAAGCUACAAAAGACAGAGCACAACACCUUAGAUUCGUGAUCCGCACUUUGUUCUGUUGUUAAUGCUCCUCCGGGAAGAAGACGAGGAUGAAGCCCGUGCCCCAGAUCUCGCUGCUGCUGCUGCUGCUCCGCUUCCUGAAGCCGAUGCCGACCCCGAGCCGCCCUUGGUCGAGAUGUCCAUUGCUUUGCUGCUCCCCUGCGCAUGAACUUGUGAACGCGAGCACGUGGGCGUGGGACACGCUACGUCACCAAAAACUAACGGUGUCAAGGAGGAUAGACGGAAUGCAUUUGAUUGCAGUAGUUUGAAUUUUUUAUUAAAAUAUUGAAAAUAAAUAUUUUGUACCAAAGUAUUACCUCUUAAAAACUUUUUGUACCAAAUAUGUAAUUUACCCUUGAAUUAAUGGGAUUUUUUUUUGGUUUA
Punica granatum (pomegranate) is the source of this 1030-nucleotide non-coding RNA. The record is from RefSeq and is a predicted model, not a curated record. NCBI's taxonomy places the organism in Eukaryota, Viridiplantae, Streptophyta, Magnoliopsida, Myrtales, Lythraceae.